AUUUAAGUAGUUUAUAUAAAAUAUAAAGUUGUGGUCUUUGUGAAGUUUUAACCUUAAAUC
Molecule: transfer RNA, 60 nt
Filed under: Cladolidia robusta
Lineage: Eukaryota; Metazoa; Arthropoda; Insecta; Hemiptera; Cicadellidae
Description: tRNA-His
Source: RNAcentral